GCGGAUAUGAUGAAAUUGGUAGACAUGCCAGUUUUAGGCACUGGUGGAGAAAUCCUUGGGGGUUCAAGUCCCUUUAUCCGCA
Molecule: transfer RNA, 82 nt
Filed under: Chloroparvula japonica
Lineage: Eukaryota; Viridiplantae; Chlorophyta; Chloropicophyceae; Chloropicales; Chloropicaceae
Description: tRNA-Leu
Rfam family: tRNA
About the family: Transfer RNA (tRNA) molecules are approximately 80 nucleotides in length. Their secondary structure includes four short double-helical elements and three loops (D, anti-codon, and T loops). Further hydrogen bonds mediate the characteristic L-shaped molecular structure. tRNAs have two regions of fundamental functional importance: the anti-codon, which is responsible for specific mRNA codon recognition, and the 3' end, to which the tRNAs corresponding amino acid is attached (by aminoacyl-tRNA synthetases). tRNAs cope with the degeneracy of the genetic code in two manners: having more than one tRNA (with a specific anti-codon) for a particular amino acid; and 'wobble' base-pairing, i.e. permitting non-standard base-pairing at the 3rd anti-codon position.
Source: RNAcentral